GGAAGUAGAAGUCGUAACAAGGUUUCCGUAGGUGAACCUGCGGAAGGAUCAUUAUUGUAUAACCGAGGUGCGAGGGCUGUCGCUGACCCGAAAGGUCGUGCACGCCCGAGUGCCCUCACACACAUCCACCUCACCCCUAUGUGCACCACCGCGUGGGUCCCCCUUUGGCUUGUUCGGAGGGGGGCUUACGUUUUCACACAAACUUUGUAUGCAGUGUAGAAUGUAUUUUUUGUUUUUGCGAUCACGCAAUCAAUACAACUUUCGACAACGGAUCUCUUGGCUCUC
This 285-nucleotide unclassified non-coding RNA is filed under the name plant metagenome. Its description in RNAcentral is "partial contains small subunit ribosomal RNA and internal transcribed spacer 1". The stretch from base 1 to 54 matches the Rfam family "Eukaryotic small subunit ribosomal RNA", at positions 1778 to 1831 of the family's 1831-position model. The record is from RNAcentral.